Ailuropoda melanoleuca (giant panda) is the source of this 1109-nucleotide long non-coding RNA. RefSeq lists it as uncharacterized. The record is from RefSeq and is a predicted model, not a curated record. The transcript is spliced from 4 exons. NCBI's taxonomy places the organism in Eukaryota, Metazoa, Chordata, Mammalia, Carnivora, Ursidae.
CCCUUGCUUUCAGAAAGGAGAGCUUGUCCAUCCCACCCCCUCCUCCCUCCUUCCAAAUCCUCUGAUGGGGCAGAAAAGCCACAUAGGGUUGUUGUAUAGGAGGAGGGGGCCAGCCCUGCUCCCAGAGAAUGUGCCUUUUCUGAAAGUCAGUCCUGGGGGAUCAAAUGUCAUUGAGGAUAUUGACUGACCUUCCACACCAACCCCCCAAAUCAGCUAACAACCCGCAGUGGGCAGGCCCUAACCAAGGGAAAGGCAAGACUGCUGCAGGAAUCUGCUGCAGGAGGCCUCCUCUCAGUCACAAGGCUGCUGAAUAGGUAGGUGAAGGGAAUCCUGGCCAGGGCAUUUACACGCACUGCUGCAAAGCCCCGCCUCCUCCCCGCCCCCGCGCCCAGCAUCCCGGGGAAGGAGGCUGCAGGAGCCUGACACGGAGAGCCUGCAGUCGCCGGGAGCCGCUCCAGGACAGAGCCCAUGCGAGGGAAAAGGUUUGAACAAGGAGAGGAAGAGUCAAGGGCAGCCAGAGUCCUUGGUUUGAGUCGGGAGAGUUUGAGCCAAUAGUUGGUUGCUGGGUGGAGGACGGUGGAGGGGUGUGCAGUUAGCUGGUUAUGUUCCUCUCUCCUUGAUGAGCUCCAAUCAGCCAGAAGUCCGGAGUGAGGACUCACCACUGCAAGGGCCUCCAGCCCUCAAAGCAGCCUCACGGGAAGGGCUCAGGACAACAAAGUACAGGGAAGAAUCUAGAAGCUGAUUUCUGUUUCCCAGGGUGUCAGAAAUCGGCACUCCUGGGAGCUGGUUAUCUGAUGAAGAAUUUCUCUAGCUAGACCUGCUGCCUCUGCACCUUGGAAAGUCAGGGAAGAGAGAGAUGAAAUUACAAAGCACUUAAUUCCACUUCCUAUGAACAGCUGUGCUGAUGAAUUUGGCUGGAUAGGAAAUGAAUAAAAUUGAGAAGAGAACCGAAGUCUGCAGGGAUCCUGCCUUUCUUUGCAAGUACAGGUGGUUCCAACCCCACUCCGUGGUGGCUGUUCAAUGUCACUGAGGCUCCCUCGGUCCUGCACUACAGAACGUUUAUUUCCUGCCAACCUCUUUAACGUGCCACUUGUUUGAGCUUCCCAACA